CCCGGGCAGUCAGCCUCUGCCCGGGGGCAGCCAGCGGUUUUGUAAUUAAUGACAGUAACCCGCUUUUCUGCCCCCCAGGAUCCUCACGACCAUCCCCAUUCUACCGAGGAGAAAACUGAGGCAGGCGAUGUCACAAGGCAAAGUGUCUGCAGCUGGAUUUGAACCCAAGGCCAUCCUUGUCCCCACCGGGCCACCUGAGAGCCCUGGGCAUUCAGUGGGCGAUAGGGAACACUGGAAGAGCCCCUCCCUGGAAGCCAGAUGGGAGGCAAGAGGCAGGCGGCGUUGAUGGAGGCUGGCCGAGCCUGGGCCUCUGGACGGUAGCUUGGAGUUGAGGCCAGGAGCCCAAUUAGGAAGUGAUGGCCUUAGUCCGAGGGGUGCGAGGAGCCCUGGACUGGAAGACUCCCCUUUGUCAAUCUCCUUGCGUCUAUAGGUCAGCCCAGCCUCGCCUCAUGGGGGUGAUGUGACCUCACACCCUGCUCUUGUCACUCAAGAAACCUCCAUCAGCCACAUAAGGAAACCUGUCCCUUUAGCGAGGACCAAAGCCUCAAAGGGCAGGAGGUGGCAUGAAUCCGUGCCCAGCCACCGCCCGCCCCACCCUCUGAGCGGGCUGCUGCAUUUCGGCCCCCAGAGAAACGGUCCUUCAACCCUUUGCUUCAUCUGGACCAGGCGGGCUGCUGCCUUCCCCCCUGGCAUGGAGGCUCUGCCUUUGGCAGGCCGAACACUCACCAGCAGUCGCCUUUUCGUUAGUCCAGACGAGGUUCUUGGCCUUCACUACCACCACAGUGAGUCGCUCAGCCGUGGGCAGGUAGCUGAGAGAGAGCAAGAUUUCGCCCACCGAAUCGGAGACCUGGAAAACCACACAGAGCAUCCUAAUGGGCCUGCAAGGCUUCAUUUUCAAAGGAAGUUUGGAGCCCACACUCCAAACUUAAGGCCUCCCUCUUGGAGAUCCUGCCCCAACAUCCCCCAGGUGGUAUGUGCCCCACGGGGCCUGGCCAGCCAGGGCACAGCAUCCUCCCUAGCUCAGACCAGGGUAGGGAAAGCCUAUCUGAAUGAAUGAGUGGCCAUUCUUAAAGAAGUGCACUUUGAUUGCCUUUGAAUAUAGCCGGUGAUGUGAAUUAGCUAACAAAGUGGUGCCUAGUGACCUUUAGAGAGAGGGUCUGCUUUCAGGGAAUAGGUGGGAAUAUCUGGCAUUGAUAGAGGUUUUCAAAGUGCUCAUUGGAUCCUCACAACAACCCUGGGAAGUAAGUGGGGUUAUCCUCAGUUUACUAAUGAGGAAACUGAGUCAGAGAGGUGAUUUAACUUGCCCAGGAGCAUUUGGGAGGGGGUUUCCGAAGUCGGUUCUCUAACUACAGUCAGCUGGCUACAAGAAGCAGCAUUUCAUUUGUUUGUAAACAGGCCCUUUCUUCCUCAGUAGCUUCCAAAUCUCACGUACUCCCUCUCCCCCAGUCUUCUGUGGACAGUGGAGGAUGUUCCUCUGGGCUGAACCUCCGUGCUCUCUGAGACAACCCUCUCUGUGCACUCAGGUUCUCCGCCCUUCCUCUGUUGGGUCCCCACCCUCACCGUGCCCCCCUAUCCCCAAGGCACAGGCCUACCCCAACUGCCAAAGCCCCUUACCUUGUUCACAUCCUGCAGAUAGAGCCAGCCACAGAAAGGCUGCUGGGGCAGCUCUAGGACGGACAGCUUCAGGUCGACCACGCCGGUCAUGACAUUGCGAUCAUCAUCAUCAAUGCCAUAGACAGAGAAGCGCAAGCUGCUUUCCUCCAGGACAGAGGGAUCCACGGUGAUGACGAACUUCUCAUCAAAGAAAAUGGAGUAAGCGGUUCGUUGGAUCUGCAGAGGCAGGAAGAAAGCAGAGCCUCUCUCUGUGGAAUGGAACUUGGCAGGUGAACAUGAAGCAGCCUUCUCAUUCCCCUCCCCUUCUCAAUUGAAGCCAUUCGUUAAAGGUGUAAGACAACAGGUAGCCACCGAGACCUCUGGAGAGAGGAAGACUUCCUUCGCCCUUUCUUCCCACAGCCCUCACCCGGUUCUGGGCCCCCAGCUGGCAACCACUGCUAAAGACUCAUUGAGCUGAAGGUCCUUAGAAGGGCCUGGACCAAGCAGCAGAGGAGAAUGCUGACCAUACACACUUCCUGGGGCUGCCAGCUGCCCACCUAGGCUCAGAUUUGCCCAGGCCAAUGCCAACUCCCUCCUGAGGGGCUUCCCCUGGCCUGGAUCUAAGCCACAGAGCUACAGAAGCUGUGUUUUGAACUGGUACCAAACCGAGCACAAGGAGAGGAGUGACUGGGAGCAAAAGGGCAGGGGAGGUCUGGUCCUUCCUGUGGGACCUUUUGGGGGUGGGUCCUGAAGUCCCACCUAUAGGGAGACCCCACUUGUGGAUGUGCGCCCAAGAGGAGGGAAAUGGGUCAGAACCCACCAUAAGCAAAAUGGCAGGUGCAGUGGGAUGGCUUCCUUGCCCUAGCUCUUUUGGCACCCAACCCAUCCCUUGGGGUGCCUGCCUACACCCCUACUACACCUGGGCAAACUUCAUUUCCCUGCCAAGGUCUUGGCUUCUUCCUCCAGAGAAUAAGGGGAUCAGAUCAGAUGAUCUGUUCUGGUCCCUUUCAAUGCUGACAUUCUAGAGUCUGUGUUCUCAGGUGCUUCCCAGCUCUUAAUGGCCUGCAGUCUUGUGUUCUAAGGCCCCUCCUGGUUCUGACAUUCUCUGUUCUAAGGUCUCUUCCAGACCUGACAUUAUGUUCAAAGGCCUCUCUCAGCUCUGACAUUUUCUAUGUCUAAGGCCUCUCCUAGAUCUGACGUUACAUGUUCUAAGGUGACAGUCUCUGCUCCAAGGUUCUUCCCAUCCUUGACAUUAUGUUCUAAGGUCCCUCCCAGCCCUGACACUCUGUAUGCUAGGGUAAAACUAUAUUUCUAAGGUCCCUUCCAGACCUGACAUUUUGUGUUGUAAGGUCCCUCCCACCU
Trichosurus vulpecula (common brushtail) is the source of this 2955-nucleotide long non-coding RNA. RefSeq lists it as uncharacterized. The transcript is spliced from 4 exons. The record is from RefSeq and is a predicted model, not a curated record. NCBI's taxonomy places the organism in Eukaryota, Metazoa, Chordata, Mammalia, Diprotodontia, Phalangeridae.